RNAcentral lists this ribosomal RNA (596 nucleotides) under uncultured bacterium. Its description in RNAcentral is "bacterial SSU rRNA". It matches the Rfam family "Bacterial small subunit ribosomal RNA", at positions 112 to 704 of the family's 1533-position model. The record is from RNAcentral.
AAUACUUAGGAAUCUGCCUAUUAGUGGGGGACAACAUUUCGAAAGGAAUGCUAAUACCGCAUACGUCCUACGGGAGAAAGCAGGGGACCUUCGGGCCUUGCGCUAUCAGAUGAGCCUAGGUCGGAUUAGCUAGUUGGUGAGGUAAUGGCUCACCAAGGCGACGAUCCGUAACUGGUCUGAGAGGAUGAUCAGUCACACUGGAACUGAGACACGGUCCAGACUCCUACGGGAGGCAGCAGUGGGGAAUAUUGGACAAUGGGCGAAAGCCUGAUCCAGCCAUGCCGCGUGUGUGAAGAAGGUCUUCGGAUUGUAAAGCACUUUAAGUUGGGAGGAAGGGUACUUACCUAAUACGUGAGUAUUUUGACGUUACCGACAGAAUAAGCACCGGCUAACUCUGUGCCAGCAGCCGCGGUAAUACAGAGGGUGCAAGCGUUAAUCGGAAUUACUGGGCGUAAAGCGCGCGUAGGUGGUUCGUUAAGUUGGAUGUGAAAUCCCCGGGCUCAACCUGGGAACUGCAUCCAAAACUGGCGAGCUAGAGUAGGGCAGAGGGUGGUGGAAUUUCCUGUGUAGCGGUGAAAUGCGUAGAUAUAGGAAGG